UUGCAGGAUAAGUUACUAAUCAGCUGUUGCAGUGCUGGUUGGUCGUUCCCCCUGCACAAAUCAACUUGUUUCUUACUAUCCCUGUCUGUCCGCAUCCCACGGCUUGCAGGGACGCUUAGUUUCAAACAU
This is a small nucleolar RNA of Ictalurus punctatus (channel catfish), 129 nucleotides long. Its record names the gene SNORA63. It matches the Rfam family "Small nucleolar RNA SNORA63". From Rfam's summary of the family: E3 belongs to the H/ACA class of snoRNAs and is involved in the processing of eukaryotic pre-rRNA and has regions of complementarity to 18S rRNA. NCBI's taxonomy places the organism in Eukaryota, Metazoa, Chordata, Actinopteri, Siluriformes, Ictaluridae. The record is from Ensembl.